This is a long non-coding RNA of Monodelphis domestica (gray short-tailed opossum), 2025 nucleotides long. The record is from Ensembl. Lineage: Eukaryota; Metazoa; Chordata; Mammalia; Didelphimorphia; Didelphidae.
ACCAGAUUCACACACACUCUCCUGUACCCCUUAAUCGAAUCCUUUCAAAAAUAUUCUCAUUGAUAUCCUUCAGGAAUCUUGGAGAGAAGAAUAAAGGGGAGUGUCAAAAGGGCCUUGAGAAACAUCUGCCUGAAUAAGGAGGAGAACUGAGGAAGCCAAAAGGGAAUGGAGUUGAGCACAUUGAUUCUUUUGGGAAAAUUCCAAAGAAGAGGGCUGCUAAUGGAUGUCUGAGAGGGGAGAGGGGUCCAGAAAUUUGCCCAAAGGCCAUUCUGAGGAUCGGUUGGCAGAAAAGUGGUCACAACACACAAGCCACAGACUGCUGCAUCCAGUCCCAAAAGAAAGAAAAGAUCCCUGCUCAUCCCUACAGAACAACGGCUUUCCUUUCUGAGGGCUGCUAAUGGAUGUCUGAGAGGGGAGAGGGGUCCAGAAAUUUGCCCAAAGCCCAUUCUGAGGAUCGGUUGGCAGAAAAGUGGUCACAACACACAAGCCACAGACUGCUGCAUCCAGUCCCAAAAGAAAGAAAGGAUCCCUGCUCAUCCCUACAGAACAACAGCUUUCCAUUUGAGGGCUGCUAAUGGAUGUCUGAGAGGGAAGAGGGGUCCAGAAAUUUGCCCAAAGCCCAUUCUGAGGAUCGGUUGGCAGAAAAGUGGUCACAACACACAAGCCACAGACUGCUGCAUCCAGUCCCAAAAGAAAGAAAGGAUCCCUGCUCAUCCCUCCGGAACAACAGCUUUUUCCAUUCUGAGGUGAGACAGAUCCUGUAGGAUGGGGGACACCUGUGGCUCUGGAGGAAGGUCCAGGGAGACCCUUGGCCUAUGGGAGGCUUUAGUCAGAAUUAGCUGAAUGGCAGCUGGACCAUCAAAAAGCAUUAGAGUGGUGGUGCUUUUGUCACUAAGAUAGGAGGCUGUUUGACUUGGUAAAGUGAGUUGCAGGGGGAUGUAGGAGAGGAGUCUGAAGGGGCAUCUAUGAUGGAGAAUGGAAGAGAUCUCAGAGGUCAUCUUCUCCAACCUAGUCUUUUGACAGGAAGGGCUAAGUGAAGUGAACAAGAGGGGGGAGGAGUUUGGUCUAGGUUACACAGCCAGGAAGUGAAGGGGCAAAAGCAGGUCCUGAGUCCAGGAUCCUUUUGUCUGCCAAGCUAGCUGACUUACAUUUUGGCAGCUACCUCUUCUGAGAGCCAAGCGUCUUGCACUCAGGUUGCCUCAGCAUGAGGUGGAGACAUUCCCCAUAGAGCCAGGACUCCUGUGAAUCUACAGUCAAUGAGGAGAAGAAGAGGGUUUGGAUCAGCCUCUGGAGAAGUGACCUUCCCUGAAUUUCUUUCAGUUAGGAAAACAGGGAUUUGCACAUCCCACUCCUAUUUUCUGUGGAACCUCCUUGAACAUUUCCCUGGGAUUUAGAGGUUAAAGCUUAGGCAAGGUCCACCUUGCUGAUCUCAGAGAAUUCCUCCUCUGGAGUCUCAGCUUGUUGAAGGGAGUACUUGGGCAAUAGGAAUAGCAUAGAGAUGGGUAAGAAUGGGCACCAUGGAGCAAAUGUGAGUUAAGAAAGGCUUGGUGUAGACAUGGGUUGAGUGCCACUUGGGCUUUCAAUAAUCACAUGGAUAGCGAAGAACAUGAACUCAGUGAAGGUGGGAAUUGUGAGUUGUUUAAAGGGAAGGACCUCCUUGUGCUAUAGAAGGAUUCUUGGGGAAAACAGGGUGGGGAAGGAACUCUGAAUUAACAGCCCCUAGAUCAGGACAAAUGGGGCCACUUCUAAGGCCUCAUUGAGCUGGUCUUAUGGACUAUCUCAAACAGAAAGAGGGGAUUUGCUCCAUCUGGAACAGAUCAGCUCAAGCACAUCUCUCACAAACAUUGUCUCCCUGAUACCAAAAAGAUUGAAGAGGGAAAGAUGAGGGCAGAAGCAGUACCCAGUCCAAUCUGUAAGGGCAAAUGGGACCAGGAAUAUGUGCCCGGGAGAGCUUUUUAAUUUUAAGUAUUUCAUCAAAAAUCCCCAAACUCCCACAAUUAAAUAAAAAUUUUAAAGGAGAACCCA